AAAUUGAACCAGUAAAAACUUUAUUUAUCUUCUAUUUGCAUCCAAUAAUUAGUUUGCUCAAAAGAAAAUAAGUUGGAAUGUAAACAAAAAAAGAAGAAGUGGGAAAGUGGGAUAUUCCAUCACAAGGUGGACUCCAAGACGGUAGCGCCCCUUCUGCCAAUCCACUCUCUACCCAACAUUUUUUUCUUGUUAAUAUUAUAUCUUAUGCCCAUUAAACCAAUCCAGAAAAUUAACAUUUUGUCACAAGUAUAAAGCAUACAUUAUAUAAUUUAUUUAUUUAUUUUAUAUACACACACACUUCUCUUGUAUAUUCACACAAAGAUGUAUGCUUUCUCUUUGUCUCUCCUCUCUCCUCUCUCUCCAUCUCUCUGUUUUAGAUCUCAUCAGGUCUUCUCUGCUUAGUAUUUGGCUUCCACGAUCUGGUAACAUGUAAUAUAUACGUCAUACUUUUUUUUGCAAAUCAAAAUUUGUGUUGUUUUGUUUCAUUUUACUGUUUUAGCUGUAUAUAAUACCAAGUUCAGACUUCAGAGUAUUCAAGAUUUUUCAUUCUCCUCUCUCUCUUAGGGUUUCGCUUCUUCUGUUUUUUUUUUCUUUUUUUGGUCUGGUUCCAAUUAAGUAGAAGAGAGUAAAAUAGACGUAAUUACUUUACAUCUCAUCCAAUCAUAACAAGCCAUCUCAACUAUUCCACAAUCUUUAUCCUCCUAUAUAUACAUAUAUAUACAGAUAUAUAGUAUAUACGAUUUGCAGGGUCUAUAAAUAAGGAGGCUAAGUAUUAACUAUUUAGAGAAAUAUGUCAGUGUUAGUCAUCAAGUUUGAGUUUGUGAGGCAAAAGAUUACGUACGAGAAGACUGUUAGACGAAACUGAAGACUAAUUUCCGGAGCCACGGUCGUUGUUUGCUGCUGUGGCAUCAUCAAGAUUCACAUCCGUUGAUGGACGGUGGUGGUUCACUCUACCCAAAGUUCUCUUGUGAAAAUGGGAAUCUUGAUGAUGCUGCAUCGGUAAUCAACGGCUAUCCUUUUCCUCUCUCUUUUUAUUAAAUUAGUUUUUAAUCGAUCCAGAUCUUCUUCAGGUAGGUCUUGUCUGCUUGAAUUCUUUUUUUGCUUUAUUCUUUUUUAUGUUAACCUAUUCUCUCCACAUAUAGCUUUUUGAUACAUAAAGAUCUGACCAGAAUCUCAAGUUUUUCGCAGUAAUUUUCAUCUUGCGCUUCCUUUCACACAAUAUACGAGUGGAUCCACGAGUUUUCUUCUAUCCAUAGGUGAACAAGAGUCAUAUCACCAAUUGAUCUAAUUAAGCUGCUCUGUUCGGUAAAAGUUGUUGUGGAAAAGCUUCUUUGAAGCGCAUGAAGCUGUUUCUUCUUAUCAUGACCAGAUCCCCUCUGGUGUGAUGAUGGAGGUCCGGAUCUGUUCGAUCGACGGUCGUGGCUAGCCCUCUUGUCUUCUGGUUAUCACUGUUCCUGUUUUGUUCUCCUUGUUUCUCGGCUUUCUUAGAUGUGUUGGUCAAAUGUGCUCUUGUUAUAUCUGGGCUGUGUUAUCUCAAUCCGUACUAUGCUGUACGGUAGAUCCCUCUUUUUUUUAAGGAUAUUGCCAUGCUUCUGGCUACGAUUCUUCUGCAUGGUUUAGCUGCGUUCUACUCAAGCCACUAUUGUGGAUAACAGAAGAGCAAGCAGUGUGAAGUAAAAUUUACUCUAGACAUGGUUUUGAUCGAUGUUUUGCAGCAAAAGAAUCCAAAAAUAGUCCUUCCAGGUCAUUUUGGACUGCAUCAGUUCUAGAUGGAGAUUCACUCAUCUUUUCCAGAGGAUGCCAUGUUUUGUUUUCAAAUUAUCGUCAUCUGUGUUGCUGCCCGUCUUCACCGUUUGUUGUGCGUGAAUUCCUCUUGACGAUCUUUAGAAAAGCUUGGAUUCUUAGCAUAGUAUUAGCAAUGGAUGUUGGUAUAAUUUCAAUUUCUGUGUUAGGAUUGGAAAAGAUCAUUGUACUCACUUUGUGGUUCAAUUCUAGUUUGUAAUCCUUUGACAAAAAAAAAAGAUACACUGUCAAUUCUUUUUUUUUUUGUUGGUUGGUGUUAGCUAAUACAUUCAAACUGAGAAUCAAAAAGGAACUUGUUGGUGGACCUUACUCAUUGUAGAUCGAUUAGGCAUAUUCAGCCCCACCUAUUUUGUCCCCUCUAUUUACAUACUUAGAUGUUCUUCUACAUAUGCAAAAUGGAGCAAAACUACUUUCAUUUUUUUUGCUUAUUUUUAAUAUGAUAAUACUAAGGUUGCCUAGUAUAAUCUUUAUCAUCAUACAUAUAUCUAUAUAUUGAUGAAUUCGAUUCAGACAAAACCAAUCCAUCGAAAUGAGUUUGUGGUUUUUACUAAGAGGAAAAAUCAGCUGUAGAAACAUGGCAUAUUUAUUGUCCAAAUCAAACUCUAAAUAAUCGUCCUCUUUUUUUUUUCGGUUUAAAACGUAGUACAUGUAAUUAUGUGUUUAGUAAUGUAUUAGUUAUGUCAUGGAGAUUUUGUGUCUCCCUCGGCACACAUUUAGUUAUUCGAAAAAUAAAUAAUAUCAUUUGAGGCAUAUCUAUCAUUAUAAAUCAAAUGGUUUGGAACAUGCCAGAGCUUUAGAACGGAUUGCAAGGAUAUAAUUGCCAUGAUUAAAGAAUUUCAUGUUUGGCCAAGCUUUGUAACAUAAUUAGAGAGGAUAGAGACUCUGUAGAUAUGCUUCUCGGAUUUCAAUCCACGAGCGCAAAAUCAUAUUUUUGAUUCUCUAGCUAGAAUUGCGCGGUCUUUCAAUAAAAAACUUUAUUUUAUUGGUUGUUCUAUUCCGGUCUGGUUAUCCAGACCACAUCAAGUUUGAGUAAUAGAACAACCGUUCGUUGUAAAAAAAAAAUCAAAUGGUUUUUGAUAAAUAGGAUGACCUAAUAAACUGCAUCCAGUUAUCACGGUACAUAAGUGUAGCGAAAUUAUUCUAUCUCAUUCUUGUAAUGCUCCAUGACCACCAUUUACAGAUUAUGAUGAUCUUUAAUAAGCCAGACAGACCAGUAUAUUUUCAUUAUCUUUUCUGUAUUAGCAAUUGAAAUUUUUUUUUAUGAAAUGUAUUAAUCUCCAUAGUCUUUUUACAUGCAUAUCCUAUGUAUUUGUUAGAACUACCAAGUGAGGAUAUAAGCUAUACAAGCAUGGUUGAGUUUAUGAUAUGUUUUAUUUGGAUAGUUUCAUGUGUUCUGGUUAUCUUCGCAUUGAUCUAAUAACUAUUAAUGCUAUUAGAACAUUUUAUGUACAAAUGCAAAGAAAAAAUUCAUUAGAAUCUGUACGCAUCUAGAUCCGACAAAAAUGAGAUGGUAUCUAAUGAAUGGCUUGAAGGGGUGAAUAUAUGUGUGUGGUCCAUUCCGAUUGAAACUAAACGCAACGCUGGGUAUGUGAGGACCAUUUCUUUAUACUGUGUACUUAUUAUUCCCAAUUUUCUCAAACUUUAGGCACUUAAUGUAUUCGUAUCACCAAAUUGGCCUUUUGUACACUAUUUAGAGUUUUACAUGAUAUAUUCUUUCGAGUAUUUUGUAUGGCUAGCAAUUUUUGAAAGUAAUAUCCACAAUUUUUGCAAAUUCAAACAGUUUGUUCGACAAAUAUAGCACUUUAAUGUCACAUUAUUACCUUUAGAUAUCAAUAGUAUAUGAUGAGACGGUUAAGUUUUUGAUUUGAGAAAUAUAUAUUACUGACUACACACUCUCUUUUGUAUUAUCUCUUUCUGAGUCAAAAUUUUCUAAAUAUAAUUAUAUGAUUGUUUCUCUUUCUAUUUCUAGCUCUGACGAUACUUUUUAAGUAUAAUAUAUUUUGGACCUGACUAUGGUGGAAAUGAUUAAAGUUACAAAAUUUAUAUUAUCAAUUAAUUAGUCUUGGAACAACUUUUUUCUGUAGACGUCCCUUCUGAACAUUUGGAGAAUAUGAGUGUGAUUGGGAAACUGAUCAUUUUAAUUCCCAAAGAAUUUGAAAUUGACAAAUAAAUUCCCCGAAUCUGCAUUGACUUUGCAAAAUUGAACUUUUGAAAAGUCCACGUUGAACGGUUAACGGAAAACGUUAAGUCUAAUUGUGUAGCCCUCUUUUAAUCUUGUUCGACUUUCAUGUCUUCUUCUUCCUCAAAUCAAGCAACAUAAACCCUAAAUUAUCCAUUUUUUUAGCUAUAGUAUAAAGGUAUUUUAGGAACUAUUUAUUAUGUUUUGGAGUCUUUUAAUAUAUUUACAGGCUCAUGAGUAUUUUAAAGAAAAAUGAUGAUUUGGAUGUAAUUUAGAGAUAAAAUAAGAGGAAACUCGUAGCUGACCAUCGAACCUGUCUAAGGGUUGACGAUCAGAGACAAACAUCGAUCAUGCAUGCCAUCGAUCGACAGUGAAGCGCGCAAAACCUAGCUAGGUUUCCAGCCGGCUUAAAUCCCAAGUCACGACAUAUUUACAUAAAUACUCAUGGCCGACUUUUAACCUAAUAUUUAUGUGUUCAACCAUUGUUCUAGGCAACACACGCUUUCAGCAAACAACACUUAAGAUUUUUAGUAGAUUUGGAGAGAAGAUUCAAGACUCCUUCAGAGAUUUGUACUGGAACUUCAGUAUUUCUAACUUUAAUCUGCAUUUUAUUCAGUUUAUGCUUUAUGAAUUGCUUUGCUAUGUCUGAGUAAUUCACUUGUUAGAUUUAGAGUUCAAAUAGGUUAAGAGAGAUUAGCCCAAAAUAUAGAAUUACUAAGGUGAUAAAUAUCCUUCAACGAAUUGUGAUUAACGGAUUUGUUCUAAAGUAGCUAACUAGAUACUUGAAACUUAAGAUUAUGGACAACUACGACGAUAGGUUCUGCACCAGAACUAAUUCCUUUGAGAUAGUAUUGCUAGAAACAAGGGGAAGCUGAUUUAGACAAUACUAGUUAACAUAUCAAUCAACUCGCUAACGCAUGUUUAAGAGAAUAUCAAUCGACGUUCUUACCAUAACAUCGAUCGACGUUCGAUCCGUAUCAACAAGUGACAGCUGAGAUAUUGGACCGUUCCCAAACUCAGACCAAUUUGCAAGUUGAAGAAGAUUCGGAUCCAAGCAUGGAUGGGCUUGUUCCUUACAAAAUUCCAGUGGAGAGGGAUAGGGAAAGGGAAAGGAGUCCUAAGAACAAACAAGUUGCCAUUGAUGGGAUGAAGCUGCCUGUGGAGGAGUGGUACUGUGGAUGCUUCAAUAGUCAGGCUAGCGGAAGUGGUACCGAUCAGGUCCAUCCGCCGAUGUUCAAUGCUCCCGAGUUCGAUGCUUUCUUCGACUCUAUUGGGGCUAACUUCGAUACGCUCCCGACUGAUAGGGAGCCUGCCGGGUUGGACCAGUUUUUGAGAGCUUCGCGGAUGUGUAACGGGUGCCUCCACAUAAUGAAUGAAGCCCUUGCUGCGAGUCGCUUGGAAGAGUAUAAAUGGAUAAGAAGCUUUAGAGUGGAGGAAUUGAGUUCUUGAUGCUACAGUUUUUGAUUGAUUAGGGGUAAUGCAAGAAGUCGCAUCAAACCUAAAGUCUUGUUGCGUCUUAUCACCUAAACACAGAAUUAGUAUUUUGAAUGCAGAAACAUUCCAAGUUUUAUUUUGCAAUCAAAAUAAUCAAAAAAGAUAAUUUAUUUCU
Brassica napus (rape) is the source of this 5591-nucleotide long non-coding RNA. RefSeq lists it as uncharacterized. Lineage: Eukaryota; Viridiplantae; Streptophyta; Magnoliopsida; Brassicales; Brassicaceae. The transcript is spliced from 4 exons. The record is from RefSeq and is a predicted model, not a curated record.